RNAcentral lists this ribosomal RNA (1521 nucleotides) under Clostridiales bacterium NS4-2. Its description in RNAcentral is "16S ribosomal RNA". It matches the Rfam family "Bacterial small subunit ribosomal RNA". The record is from RNAcentral. Lineage: Bacteria; Bacillati; Bacillota; Clostridia; Eubacteriales.
AGAGUUUGAUCCUGGCUCAGGACGAACGCUGGCGGCGUGCCUAACACAUGCAAGUCGAGCGAAGUGCUUACAACGGAAUCCUUCGGGAAGAAGAUGUAAGUAUCUUAGCGGCGGACGGGUGAGUAACGCGUGAGGAACCUACCUUCCACAAGGGGAUAGCCUCGGGAAACUGGGAUUAAUACCCUAUGAGACUUAGGUAUCGCAUGAUACUUGGGUUAAAGCGUAAAGCGGUGGAAGAUGGCCUCGCGUCCCAUUAGCUAGUUGGUGAGGUAACGGCUCACCAAGGCGACGAUGGGUAGCCGGCCUGAGAGGGUGGACGGCCACACUGGAACUGAGACACGGUCCAGACUCCUACGGGAGGCAGCAGUGGGGAAUAUUGCACAAUGGGCGAAAGCCUGAUGCAGCGACGCCGCGUGAGCGAAGAAGGCCUUCGGGUCGUAAAGCUCUGUCCUAUGGGACGAUAAUGACGGUACCAUAGGAGGAAGCCCCGGCUAACUACGUGCCAGCAGCCCGCGGUAAUACGUAGGGGGCGAGCGUUGUCCGGAAUGACUGGGCGUAAAGGGUACGUAGGCGGCCGUGUAAGUCAGGUGUGAAAGGCUAGGGCUCAACCCUAGUGAGCACUUGAAACUGCAUGGCUUGAGUCGAGGAGAGGAAAGUGGAAUUCCUGGUGUAGCGGUGAAAUGCGUAGAUAUCAGGAGGAAUACCAGUGGCGAAGGCGACUUUCUGGCCUUAGACUGACGCUGAGGUACGAAAGCGUGGGGAGCAAACUGGAUUAGAUACCCUGGUAGUCCACGCCGUAAACGAUGAGUGCUAGGUGUCGGGACAUAAGUUUCGGUGCCGAAGUUACACAUUAAGCACUCCGCCUGGGAGUACGGUCGCAAGACUAAACUCAAAGGAAUUGACGGGGACCCGCACAGCAGCGGAGCAUGUGGUUAAUUGAUGCAACGCGAAGACCUUACCAGGGCUUGACAUCCCUCUGACAGUCCUAGAGAUAGGGCCUUCCCUUCGGGGACAGAGGUGACAGGUGGUGCAUGGUUGUCGUCAGCUCGUGUCGUGAGAUGUUGGGUUAAGUCCCGCAACGAGCGCAACCCUUGCCUUUAGUUGCUAACAGUUAGGCUGAGCACUCUAGAGGGACUGCCGGCAAUAAGUCGGAGGAAGGUGGGGAUGACGUCAAAUCAUCAUGCCCUUUAUGUCCUGGGCUACACACGUGCUACAAUGGUCGGUACAAAGGGCAGCGAGCGAGCGAUCGUGAGCGAAUCCCAUAAAGCCGAUCCCAGUUCGGAUUGCAGGCUGCAACUCGCCUGCAUGAAGUCGGAGUUGCUAGUAAUCGCGGAUCAGAAUGCCGCGGUGAAUGCGUUCCCGGGUCUUGUACACACCGCCCGUCACACCAUGGGAGUCAACAAUGCCCGAAGCCAGUGAGCUAACCGUAAGGGGGCAGCUGUCGAAGGCAGGGUUGAUGACUGAGGUGAAGUCGUAACAAGGUAGCCGUAUCGGAAGGUGCGGCUGGAUCACCUCCUUUCU